This 476-nucleotide ribosomal RNA is filed under the name uncultured bacterium. Its description in RNAcentral is "bacterial SSU rRNA". It matches the Rfam family "Bacterial small subunit ribosomal RNA", at positions 30 to 504 of the family's 1533-position model. The record is from RNAcentral.
UGAACGCUGGCGGCAGGCCUAACACAUGCAAGUCGAGCGAGAAAUCACUUCGGUGAGAGUACAGCGGCGGACGGGUGAGUAACGCGUAGGAAUCUACCUGGUAGUGGGGGACAACAUGUGGAAACGCAUGCUAAUACCGCAUACGACCUAAGGGUGAAAGCGGGGGACCUUCGGGCCUCGCGCUAUCGGAUGAGCCUGCGUUGGAUUAGCUAGUUGGUGGGGUAAAGGCUCACCAAGGCGACGAUCCAUAGCUGGUCUGAGAGGAUGAUCAGCCACACUGGGACUGAGACACGGCCCAGACUCCUACGGGAGGCAGCAGUGGGGAAUAUUGCGCAAUGGGCGAAAGCCUGACGCAGCCAUGCCGCGUGUGUGAAGAAGGCCCUAGGGUUGUAAAGCACUUUCAAUUGGGAAGAAAGGUUGCAGGUUAAUAGCCUGUAGCUGUGACAUUACCUUUAGAAGAAGCACCGGCUAACUCC